Molecule: RNA transcript, 8579 nt
Organism: Homo sapiens (human)
Lineage: Eukaryota; Metazoa; Chordata; Mammalia; Primates; Hominidae
Gene: CNOT1
Gene name: CCR4-NOT transcription complex subunit 1
Exons: 50
Source: RefSeq, marked validated
GUAGAGAAACAAGCGGAGUUAACCGAAGAGGGGGUCGAGGAGAGCCGGAGUCGGGGACCCAGGAGUUUCCUGUGUCCAGCGCUGCCGGAGCCGCCUGAGGUGCCAUGUUUCAGAACAGAGUAAGACCCCUGGUAAAGAAGAACUGAAGAUAUUAUACAGAUACCAGAUAUAGCCUAAUUACAAAGAAAGCAUUAACCUGCCUCUGAGGUGACUAAAGGGGAAUAAUGGUGAUUUUGCGCCGGGCUCGGCCGCCUGCUUCCGCCCCAACCAGCAAUGAAUCUUGACUCGCUCUCGCUGGCCUUGUCUCAAAUCAGCUACCUGGUGGACAAUUUAACCAAGAAAAAUUACCGAGCCAGCCAGCAGGAAAUACAGCAUAUUGUGAAUCGGCACGGUCCUGAGGCAGACAGGCAUUUAUUACGCUGCCUAUUUUCGCAUGUGGAUUUCAGUGGCGAUGGUAAAAGCAGUGGCAAAGAUUUCCAUCAGACUCAGUUUCUGAUUCAGGAGUGUGCGUUGCUGAUUACAAAGCCAAAUUUUAUCUCGACGCUGUCCUAUGCCAUUGAUAAUCCAUUGCACUAUCAGAAGAGUUUAAAGCCUGCACCCCACUUAUUUGCCCAGCUGAGUAAAGUGCUCAAAUUAAGCAAAGUACAAGAGGUAAUUUUUGGCCUUGCCCUGUUGAAUUCUUCCAGCUCAGAUCUUAGAGGUUUCGCUGCCCAGUUUAUCAAACAGAAGCUUCCAGAUCUUCUGCGUUCUUACAUUGACGCAGACGUCAGUGGAAAUCAAGAAGGUGGCUUCCAAGAUAUAGCAAUAGAGGUCCUACACCUCCUCCUCUCCCAUCUCCUCUUUGGGCAGAAGGGAGCCUUUGGAGUUGGACAAGAACAGAUAGACGCUUUUCUUAAGACGCUGCGCAGAGAUUUUCCCCAAGAACGCUGUCCCGUGGUGCUCGCACCACUUUUAUACCCUGAAAAACGGGACAUUCUAAUGGACAGGAUCCUGCCUGAUUCCGGAGGGGUAGCUAAAACCAUGAUGGAGAGCUCUUUGGCUGAUUUCAUGCAAGAAGUAGGCUAUGGCUUUUGUGCAAGUAUUGAAGAAUGUCGCAAUAUAAUCGUGCAGUUUGGUGUUCGGGAGGUCACAGCUGCCCAGGUUGCAAGGGUUUUGGGAAUGAUGGCUCGAACUCAUUCAGGAUUAACAGAUGGCAUUCCAUUACAGAGUAUUUCUGCUCCGGGCAGUGGGAUCUGGAGUGAUGGGAAAGAUAAAAGUGAUGGAGCACAGGCACACACAUGGAAUGUAGAAGUCUUGAUUGACGUUCUUAAAGAACUGAAUCCAAGUUUGAAUUUCAAGGAAGUAACUUAUGAACUGGACCAUCCUGGAUUUCAAAUUCGUGACAGUAAAGGACUUCAUAAUGUGGUUUAUGGCAUUCAGAGGGGUUUGGGUAUGGAAGUGUUCCCAGUAGACCUCAUAUAUAGACCUUGGAAACAUGCUGAAGGCCAGCUCUCCUUCAUUCAACAUUCCCUUAUAAAUCCAGAGAUCUUCUGUUUUGCUGACUAUCCCUGUCAUACUGUUGCCACUGAUAUUCUGAAAGCACCACCAGAGGAUGACAAUCGAGAAAUUGCCACAUGGAAGAGCUUGGAUUUGAUUGAAUCUCUGCUGAGGCUUGCAGAGGUUGGGCAGUAUGAGCAAGUCAAACAGCUCUUCAGCUUCCCUAUCAAACACUGUCCAGACAUGCUGGUAUUGGCCUUACUACAAAUUAACACCUCUUGGCAUACCUUGCGCCAUGAACUUAUCUCCACUCUGAUGCCAAUUUUCCUUGGAAACCAUCCUAACUCAGCUAUUAUUUUGCACUAUGCAUGGCAUGGGCAGGGACAGUCUCCCUCAAUUCGCCAACUUAUCAUGCAUGCAAUGGCAGAAUGGUACAUGAGAGGGGAGCAGUAUGAUCAGGCCAAAUUGUCUCGAAUACUUGAUGUGGCCCAGGACUUGAAGGCCUUGUCAAUGCUGCUAAAUGGUACUCCAUUUGCCUUUGUUAUUGACCUUGCUGCACUUGCUUCACGUCGUGAAUACCUCAAACUUGAUAAGUGGCUCACAGAUAAAAUUCGAGAGCAUGGGGAGCCUUUUAUCCAGGCGUGUAUGACUUUUUUAAAGAGACGGUGUCCUUCUAUUUUGGGCGGACUUGCCCCAGAAAAAGACCAGCCCAAAAGUGCUCAACUUCCUCCAGAAACUUUGGCGACAAUGUUGGCCUGUCUGCAAGCUUGUGCAGGGAGUGUUUCUCAGGAGCUAUCAGAAACUAUCCUCACCAUGGUAGCCAAUUGCAGUAAUGUUAUGAAUAAGGCCAGACAACCACCACCUGGAGUUAUGCCAAAAGGACGUCCUCCUAGUGCUAGCAGCUUAGAUGCCAUUUCUCCUGUUCAGAUUGACCCUCUUGCUGGAAUGACAUCUCUUAGUAUAGGUGGUUCAGCUGCCCCUCACACCCAGAGUAUGCAGGGUUUUCCUCCAAAUUUGGGUUCUGCAUUCAGUACCCCUCAGUCACCAGCAAAAGCAUUUCCACCCCUUUCAACCCCCAAUCAGACCACUGCAUUCAGUGGUAUUGGAGGACUUUCAUCACAGCUUCCAGUAGGUGGUCUUGGCACAGGCAGCCUGACUGGUAUAGGAACUGGUGCUCUUGGACUCCCUGCAGUGAAUAACGACCCUUUUGUACAGAGGAAACUGGGCACCUCUGGACUGAAUCAGCCUACAUUCCAGCAGACGGACUUGUCUCAGGUGUGGCCAGAGGCAAACCAGCACUUUAGUAAAGAGAUAGAUGAUGAAGCAAACAGCUAUUUCCAGCGAAUAUAUAAUCAUCCACCACAUCCAACCAUGUCUGUUGAUGAGGUAUUAGAAAUGCUGCAGAGAUUUAAAGACUCUACUAUAAAGAGGGAACGAGAAGUAUUUAACUGUAUGCUAAGGAACUUGUUUGAAGAAUAUCGUUUUUUUCCCCAGUAUCCUGAUAAAGAGUUACAUAUAACAGCCUGCCUAUUUGGUGGUAUAAUUGAGAAAGGACUGGUCACUUACAUGGCACUAGGUCUGGCUCUACGAUAUGUUCUUGAAGCCUUACGCAAGCCUUUUGGAUCCAAAAUGUAUUAUUUCGGGAUUGCUGCACUAGAUAGAUUUAAAAACAGAUUGAAGGACUAUCCCCAGUAUUGUCAGCAUUUGGCUUCUAUCAGUCACUUUAUGCAAUUUCCACAUCAUUUACAGGAGUAUAUUGAGUAUGGACAGCAGUCUAGAGAUCCUCCUGUGAAAAUGCAAGGCUCUAUCACAACCCCUGGAAGUAUUGCACUGGCUCAGGCCCAGGCUCAGGCCCAGGUUCCAGCAAAAGCUCCUCUUGCUGGUCAAGUUAGCACUAUGGUAACCACCUCAACAACUACCACUGUUGCUAAAACGGUUACGGUCACCAGGCCAACUGGAGUCAGCUUUAAGAAAGAUGUGCCACCUUCUAUUAAUACUACAAAUAUAGAUACGUUGCUUGUGGCCACAGAUCAAACUGAGAGAAUUGUGGAGCCCCCAGAAAAUAUCCAGGAGAAAAUUGCUUUUAUUUUCAAUAAUCUCUCACAGUCAAAUAUGACACAAAAGGUUGAAGAGCUAAAGGAAACGGUGAAAGAAGAAUUUAUGCCUUGGGUUUCACAGUAUCUGGUUAUGAAGAGAGUCAGUAUUGAGCCAAACUUUCAUAGCCUGUAUUCAAACUUCCUUGACACGCUGAAGAAUCCUGAAUUUAACAAGAUGGUUCUGAAUGAGACCUACAGAAACAUUAAAGUGCUCCUGACCUCUGAUAAAGCUGCAGCCAAUUUCUCAGAUCGUUCUUUGCUGAAGAACUUGGGACAUUGGCUAGGAAUGAUCACAUUAGCUAAAAACAAACCCAUCUUACACACUGACUUGGAUGUGAAAUCAUUGCUGCUAGAGGCUUAUGUUAAAGGACAACAAGAAUUGCUCUAUGUAGUGCCCUUUGUUGCCAAAGUCUUAGAAUCUAGCAUUCGUAGUGUGGUUUUUAGGCCACCAAACCCUUGGACAAUGGCAAUUAUGAAUGUAUUAGCUGAGCUACAUCAGGAGCAUGACUUAAAGUUAAACUUGAAGUUUGAAAUCGAGGUUCUCUGCAAGAACCUUGCAUUAGACAUCAAUGAGCUAAAACCUGGAAACCUCCUAAAGGAUAAAGAUCGCCUGAAGAAUUUAGAUGAGCAACUCUCUGCUCCAAAGAAAGAUGUCAAGCAGCCAGAAGAACUCCCUCCCAUCACAACCACAACAACUUCUACUACACCAGCUACCAACACCACUUGUACAGCCACGGUUCCACCACAGCCACAGUACAGCUACCACGACAUCAAUGUCUAUUCCCUUGCGGGCUUGGCACCACACAUUACUCUGAAUCCAACAAUUCCCUUGUUUCAGGCCCAUCCACAGUUGAAGCAGUGUGUGCGUCAGGCAAUUGAACGGGCUGUCCAGGAGCUGGUCCAUCCUGUGGUGGAUCGAUCAAUUAAGAUUGCCAUGACUACUUGUGAGCAAAUAGUCAGGAAGGAUUUUGCCCUGGAUUCGGAGGAAUCUCGAAUGCGAAUAGCAGCUCAUCACAUGAUGCGUAACUUGACAGCUGGAAUGGCUAUGAUUACAUGCAGGGAACCUUUGCUCAUGAGCAUAUCUACCAACUUAAAAAACAGUUUUGCCUCAGCCCUUCGUACUGCUUCCCCACAACAAAGAGAAAUGAUGGAUCAGGCAGCUGCUCAAUUAGCUCAGGACAAUUGUGAGUUGGCUUGCUGUUUUAUUCAGAAGACUGCAGUAGAAAAAGCAGGCCCUGAGAUGGACAAGAGAUUAGCAACUGAAUUUGAGCUGAGAAAACAUGCUAGGCAAGAAGGACGCAGAUACUGUGAUCCUGUUGUUUUAACAUAUCAAGCUGAACGGAUGCCAGAGCAAAUCAGGCUGAAAGUUGGUGGUGUGGACCCAAAGCAGUUGGCUGUUUACGAAGAGUUUGCACGCAAUGUUCCUGGCUUCUUACCUACAAAUGACUUAAGUCAGCCCACGGGAUUUUUAGCCCAGCCCAUGAAGCAAGCUUGGGCAACAGAUGAUGUAGCUCAGAUUUAUGAUAAGUGUAUUACAGAACUGGAGCAACAUCUACAUGCCAUCCCACCAACUUUGGCCAUGAACCCUCAAGCUCAGGCUCUUCGAAGUCUCUUGGAGGUUGUAGUUUUAUCUCGAAACUCUCGGGAUGCCAUAGCUGCUCUUGGAUUGCUCCAAAAGGCUGUAGAGGGCUUACUAGAUGCCACAAGUGGUGCUGAUGCUGACCUUCUGCUGCGCUACAGGGAAUGCCACCUCUUGGUCCUAAAAGCUCUGCAGGAUGGCCGGGCAUAUGGGUCUCCAUGGUGCAACAAACAGAUCACAAGGUGCCUAAUUGAAUGUCGAGAUGAAUAUAAAUAUAAUGUGGAGGCUGUGGAGCUGCUAAUUCGCAAUCAUUUGGUUAAUAUGCAGCAGUAUGAUCUUCACCUAGCGCAGUCAAUGGAGAAUGGCUUAAACUACAUGGCUGUGGCAUUUGCUAUGCAGUUAGUAAAAAUCCUGCUGGUGGAUGAAAGGAGUGUUGCUCAUGUUACUGAGGCAGAUCUGUUCCACACCAUUGAAACCCUCAUGAGGAUUAAUGCUCAUUCCAGAGGCAAUGCUCCAGAAGGAUUGCCCCAGCUGAUGGAAGUAGUGCGAUCCAACUAUGAAGCAAUGAUUGAUCGUGCUCAUGGAGGCCCAAACUUUAUGAUGCAUUCUGGGAUCUCUCAAGCCUCAGAGUAUGAUGACCCUCCAGGCCUGAGGGAGAAGGCAGAGUAUCUUCUGAGGGAAUGGGUGAAUCUCUACCAUUCAGCAGCAGCUGGCCGCGACAGUACCAAAGCUUUCUCUGCAUUUGUUGGACAGAUGCACCAGCAAGGAAUACUGAAGACCGAUGAUCUCAUAACAAGGUUCUUUCGUCUGUGUACUGAAAUGUGUGUUGAAAUCAGUUACCGUGCUCAGGCUGAGCAGCAGCACAAUCCUGCUGCCAAUCCCACCAUGAUCCGAGCCAAGUGCUAUCACAACCUGGAUGCCUUUGUUCGACUCAUUGCACUGCUCGUGAAACACUCAGGGGAGGCCACCAACACUGUCACAAAGAUUAAUCUGCUGAACAAGGUCCUUGGUAUAGUAGUGGGAGUUCUCCUUCAGGAUCAUGAUGUUCGUCAGAGUGAAUUUCAGCAACUUCCCUACCAUCGAAUUUUUAUCAUGCUUCUCUUGGAACUCAAUGCACCUGAGCAUGUGUUGGAAACCAUUAAUUUCCAGACACUUACAGCUUUCUGCAAUACAUUCCACAUCUUGAGGCCUACCAAAGCUCCUGGCUUUGUAUAUGCCUGGCUUGAACUGAUUUCCCAUCGGAUAUUUAUUGCAAGAAUGCUGGCACAUACGCCACAGCAGAAGGGGUGGCCUAUGUAUGCACAGCUACUGAUUGAUUUAUUCAAAUAUUUAGCGCCUUUCCUUAGAAAUGUGGAACUCACCAAACCUAUGCAAAUCCUCUACAAGGGCACUUUAAGAGUGCUGCUGGUUCUUUUGCAUGAUUUCCCAGAGUUCCUUUGUGAUUACCAUUAUGGGUUCUGUGAUGUGAUCCCACCUAAUUGUAUCCAGUUAAGAAAUUUGAUCCUGAGUGCCUUUCCAAGAAACAUGAGGCUCCCCGACCCAUUCACUCCUAAUCUAAAGAGUCUUACUCUGUGACCCAGGCUGGAGUGCAGUGGUGCAGUCUCGGCUUACUGCAACCUCCCCUUCGCUGGUUCAAGCUAUUCUCCCGCCUCAGCCUCCCAAGUAGCUGGGAUUACAGGCACUCGCCACCACACCUGGCUAAUUAUGUGUUUAGUGGAGAUGGGGUUUCGCCAUGUCAGCCAGGUGGACAUGUUGAGUGAAAUUAACAUUGCUCCCCGGAUUCUCACCAAUUUCACUGGAGUAAUGCCACCUCAGUUCAAAAAGGAUUUGGAUUCCUAUCUUAAAACUCGAUCACCAGUCACUUUCCUGUCUGAUCUGCGCAGCAACCUACAGGUAUCCAAUGAACCUGGGAAUCGCUACAACCUCCAGCUCAUCAAUGCACUGGUGCUCUAUGUCGGGACUCAGGCCAUUGCGCACAUCCACAACAAGGGCAGCACACCUUCAAUGAGCACCAUCACUCACUCAGCACACAUGGAUAUCUUCCAGAAUUUGGCUGUGGACUUGGACACUGAGGGUCGCUAUCUCUUUUUGAAUGCAAUUGCAAAUCAGCUCCGGUACCCAAAUAGCCACACUCACUACUUCAGUUGCACCAUGCUGUACCUUUUUGCAGAGGCCAAUACGGAAGCCAUCCAAGAACAGAUCACAAGAGUUCUCUUGGAACGGUUGAUUGUAAAUAGGCCACAUCCUUGGGGUCUUCUUAUUACCUUCAUUGAGCUGAUUAAAAACCCAGCGUUUAAGUUCUGGAACCAUGAAUUUGUACACUGUGCCCCAGAAAUCGAAAAGUUAUUCCAGUCGGUCGCACAGUGCUGCAUGGGACAGAAGCAGGCCCAGCAAGUAAUGGAAGGGACAGGUGCCAGUUAGACGAAACUGCAUCUCUGUUGUACGUGUCAGUCUAGAGGUCUCACUGCACCGAGUUCAUAAACUGACUGAAGAAUCCUUUCAGCUCUUCCUGACUUUCCCAGCCCUUUGGUUUGUGGGUAUCUGCCCCAACUACUGUUGGGAUCAGCCUCCUGUCUUAUGUGGGCACGUUCCAAAGUUUAAAUGCAUUUUUUUGACUCUUGGCCAAAAUUUAGAAGAUGCUGUGAAUAUCAUUUUGAACUUGUGUAAAUACAUGAAAGAGAAAACCUUUGUCUGGAACUUCUUGGCUUUGUGCAAGCUGUGUCCAAGGCAAGUACAUAAACUGGUACCUUGUAAUGAAGAGGCAGCUGAUGCCAUGCACUUGUCUGAGGGCAUAGCUCCAUGUCUUCUGACAUUCCUGGUGUCCCAAAGAAUAGCAAAAAGCCAGUUUGAAUAUUAUGUAACUUAUUUUUUUAAUGUGGACAGGGGACCUUGAAAAUCACUAAGUUAUUAAAAAUGUGGAUGUGCUAGAAUUGGAUAUGUCCAGGAACAUGGGAAGGGCUCACUAUUGGAAUCCCAUGAGUUUCCAUUUUGUCUCUACCCAAACGUAUUCCAAAGCUGACUGCAUUUGUACCAUCUUAUUUCUUUUGGGGAUUAUACACCUCAGCCGCCUGAGAUGGGGGUCAGCUCUUUAUAUAAAGGGAAACCAGACCAGGCCUAAAGCCCACCCCUACCCUCACCCCCCCAAUCCUCUCCUGAAACUUAAAAACAGUGGGAAUAUAGGAAAGGGAACCAAAUCUCAUUAAUUAAUUGUUCUCCCCCAUUACCCCACUGAAUGAAUGGCCAUACAGGCUAAGCUGAAUAAUGACAAAGUUGAAAGGACCAAUACAGCCCCUUUUAUAAGGAUUUUGAAUGUUUUGCAAAUGUAUUGGUCCCUGUGUUGUAUUUUGUAGCCUUUUCCUGGGCUUCAGCUCCCCUACUUCUUGUAUGUGUAUGCAUACUGUAGCUAACCAUUAAAGUCAUGACACACA